UACAGAGGUCUCAAGCGUUGUUCGGAUUCAUUGGGCGUAAAGGGUGCGUAGGUGGCGCUGUAAGUCGGGUGUGAAAUUUCGGAGCUUAACUCCGAAACUGCAUUCGAUACUGCGGUGCUUGAGGACUGGAGAGGAGACUGGAAUUCAUGGUGUAGCAGUGAAAUGCGUAGAGAUCAUGAGGAAGACCAGUGGCGAAGGCGGCAUCCUGGACCAACACUGACACUGAGGAGCGAAAGCCGGGGGAGCAAGCGGG
This 253-nucleotide ribosomal RNA is filed under the name uncultured bacterium. RNAcentral describes it as "partial 16S ribosomal RNA". It matches the Rfam family "Bacterial small subunit ribosomal RNA", at positions 524 to 776 of the family's 1533-position model. The record is from RNAcentral.